AGAGUUUGAUCAUGGCUCAGAUUGAACGCUGGCGGCAGGCCUAACACAUGCAAGUCGAACGGUAGCACAGAGAGCUUGCUCUCGGGUGACGAGUGGCGGACGGGUGAGUAAUGUCUGGGAAACUGCCUGAUGGAGGGGGAUAACUACUGGAAACGGUAGCUAAUACCGCAUAACGUCGCAAGACCAAAGAGGGGGACCUUCGGGCCUCUUGCCAUCAGAUGUGCCCAGAUGGGAUUAGCUAGUAGGUGGGGUAACGGCUCACCUAGGCGACGAUCCCUAGCUGGUCUGAGAGGAUGACCAGCCACACUGGAACUGAGACACGGUCCAGACUCCUACGGGAGGCAGCAGUGGGGAAUAUUGCACAAUGGGGGAAACCCUGAUGCGGCCAUGCCGCGUGUGUGAAGAAGGCCUUCGGGUUGUAAAGCACUUUCAGCGAGGAGGAAGGGAGUAAGGUUAAUAACCUUAUUCAUUGACGUUACCCGCAGAAGAAGCACCGGCUAACUCCGUGCCAGCAGCCGCGGUAAUAC
This 527-nucleotide ribosomal RNA is filed under the name uncultured bacterium. Its description in RNAcentral is "bacterial SSU rRNA". It matches the Rfam family "Bacterial small subunit ribosomal RNA", at positions 8 to 526 of the family's 1533-position model. The record is from RNAcentral.